This is a long non-coding RNA of Gasterosteus aculeatus aculeatus (three-spined stickleback), 8020 nucleotides long. NCBI's taxonomy places the organism in Eukaryota, Metazoa, Chordata, Actinopteri, Perciformes, Gasterosteidae. The record is from Ensembl.
CUCUGUACUGGGAGGAAAUGUACUCUUUCCGUUUUUGUUGAAAAUCAACAUUGUCUUUUGUAUUAUUUAUUUUCUUUUGUCUAAAUUCAGGGUUGUUCUGAUAUUGCAUUCUUGCAUGAGAUCUUUUUUCUGCUUUAUACGCUUUAUUUGAGGCAUAUUUUUCCCUUUCUUUGCUUUUUUUAAUCUCUUGCCUUUGUUGAUUUUUCUCUGAGAUCAGUCUUCUCUUUAAUUUUCUCCUUUUGUUUUUAUCACACUUUGUUAGUUUGCAUGAGAUUCCCUGUAAUAGAACACCAGGUAGAUCACUAGCAACAGUAUUUUCUACUGAGGAAGAAAUACUUGGUUCAUUGAGAGAAGCAUCAUGUGAUGGAAGGGAAGUGGAUUGACUUGAUAGUUCUGGUUCAUUGGAGUUUAUGACCUCUUUUUGUCUCACCGAUGAUGUGAAGAUGAUGUCAUUGGACUCUGCUGUCAAUAUGUCGUCAGAUGGAUCACUGAGGUUUAUCACUUGAGCAGUUGAUUCUGAUUCAUUGUGAGGAGCAUCAUGUGAUGAUAUUGUGAUGAAGACCUCUGGUUGUUUUACAGCUGGAGUGUGAGGAGUCAUUUCAGGUGAACUGGUCUGAUCAGUGGCUGUAGGUGAGUUUGAUUCCUCCACAGGGACAGCUGUAGGUCUGCAGUCUGUGUUUGGGAGACCAUCGUUCAGGUUUACUGUGUUCACAUUGUAGAACUCCACAGGUUUCAACUCAUAGUUACAGGAGGACUGUGUGUCCAUCAUUCUGUGGGACUUCUUGAGCCUGUCAAUCAUGUCACUGAGACGUGAGAAUGUCACCAUGACAGCAGUACCUGGUGUGCGUGAACCGGCUGGUAGGGGCAAACCUCUGGCUGUUCUGGAGUGUGGGUCAAAGAAACCGUAUCUGCCUGACUUGGUUCUGAACACUGCGAUACACAAGAGUCUCAUCAACAGCAGAGCGUACUUCACAUCUGACAACAAGCAGCUGAGUCCUGACUCCAGGUCCAGAAAGUUGUCCACAGCUCCAGGUAAAGGUUCUCCUAAUGUGCCGUACCUUGAAAGCUGAGUCAUGUCUGCAUGGUGUGUAGUGCUGCGUGCAGGAACUUCAUCAGUGAGCUCGUCGGUGGUCAGAUAGAUGUGAUCGGUGACUCGUUUCCUGGUCUCUCUAUACAUCGUGUUACCUUUAUCCAAAACAUGGUCCAGGUCUGCUCCGGUGAUGCUUUCAUUCUCAUGGAGGAAUGCAAGAAAGGUCAGUGAGUUACAGGUGCACUGCCGAUUUCUGGAUCUGCCGUAUCUGAUUGAAGCCUGGCUGUGGGAUGCACGGACAUGUUGUUCAGAAGGCUGAUCUUCAGGGUCUACACGGUCUGCAUUAGAAGGUCCUGCUGUACAUGGAUCCUCACUGUGACGUCCACUCUUUACUGCGUCUGCAUAUGAUACCUGUGACUCACUUGGAACUCCCUGUUUCACACUUCCAGGAUGAGACUCUGCAGACAUCUUUACCGCUCCACUGCUCUCAGGACCAACACAUUCUGCUCCGUCAGUCGUUGUUGCACAGGGAUUCUCUUUGGUCCGCUGCCAGCGCAGGCUCUGAGCUUGUGACCUCUUACUCUUUCUUGGCAUUGUUGUGUGUCAAAACCAAAAAUGUUAUUGUUUUACUUGUAUUGUACACAACCAAGGUACUAAACACAAUAUUAAAGGUAAAAUAGUAUUAUUAACAAAGCGGGAUGUAAGGAUAAAUUAAACGUAUGUCUGCUUUUUGGUAACACUUAGCAGUUUAAAUGCUUCAAAACUAUACUAUUUGUUAUGAUAUACCAAAAGCCAUUUCAGUAUCCAAGUAAAUGACUUUGUAGAAAAUCCCAGCCAGGAAAAUGUGAUGUCAAACGUAACACUAUAAAGAGAUCAAUAUCAAUGCUCAAAUUUGACUGUUCCUGAAAUACUAUAUUAUUUAUGUUUUGGUGUAUGUCAAAAAAUCUAUAUUUGAUUGUCAAAUCCAGUGACAGCAACUUUGAGUAUAUUCCUUAGUCUUAUUAUAUUAAGGCUAUAUCUAAAACCCUAAAUCAAACAAUUUUAGUUCAUAAAUACUGUGAGCAGGUAUAUACUGGAUCUGUGAACUUACUGACAGUAUAUAUUUGUUAAAUAUACUUCUAGAAGAAACCUUGACAAAUCUUUGGAAAUAUUUAUUCAAUAUAAAAUCUAAAGUUUAACACUGGACAACAACCAAAUAAAAAUAGGCUAUUUUAAAUGAUUGUGAGCCACCUAAAUCUCUUUUUAAUAAUGAAAUGUACUUAAUUAAAACUCUUAAGACUUGACAAAGUUAGAAAUGACUCUGAUAAAAAAGUUAAAAUGAUUUACUGAGGGAACCAAAUCUACAGUGCAGAAAUGGUAUGUAGUACAAUUCUAGACGCACUAGGACGAAAAUAUUCUGUUCACUUCAAAGUUUUGUGGAAUAUGUAAAUUUAAUUACACAUUUUGCACCAAUCCACAACCAGUAGUCCAAUGCCAGAUCUCUUCUGAUCCUUAACUGUUUGCACUUACCAGCAAGGAAUAUCUUCUAUAAUUAUCUAAUAUUAUUACUAUGAUAUGGUUUAUAUUCAAAUCGGGAACAGUUGUCGUGGCAGCUGAAUCCUUCUGAAGAAUGUUGGGUCUGUAGACAGGAAGCAGCAAUUCCAAAUAAAUCCUUUUCCUCCUUAUAGAUGCUUGUAUUUUAUUUCAGGAUGUUAGACAUCAAAAUGCAUAGACUGAAUGAUUGAAACAAUGUAAGUUUACAUGAAAAAAAUACUUAACACACUAAAUAAUUAUUAAUAAUAGUGAAAUUCUUUUUAUUUGUAUGUAGACUAGUCAAGUUAACAGUGUAAAGGUGUCAGCUAGCAAAACAAACCAACGGAGUCCACAGCAACUAAAAACUCUUCUCUAAUAUGGAUUUUCACUCCAAUGUAUUUUUGUGUAUUAAGAGUACACGUCUUGUGAAUUAUGCACCUUUUAUAAGAAAUUAUAUAUUUUGAAAAUCACCAGAUUAAAUUCUUAAGUAUAAAAUGUGUAACCGUUGUCAAUUACAACCAAAGAUUGUGGACGUUGUACGGUUUCUUUACAGUUUAUAAUCUCAAAAGAAAAAUAUAUCAAAUGUUUUCUCCAAUUUGUAAAAGCAGUAAUAGUUGUCUACAGAUAGGUGUAUGUGUUGUAGAUAGGAGAUUGAAAGAGGUGAGCGUGAGAGAAGAGAAUCUCUCAGAUUGUCCAAAAAAGAUAGAUCAGGUACCAAUAACCCGAGUCAAGGUGAGUGAUCAGAGGAGAGACAGAGAGCGCGAGAGACUCUCAGAGUAUUCAUCAACAGACAGGUACUUGUAACCAUAGCAAAACCAAAUCAAUUUGGUUAUUAGUCAGGGUUCCAGGUUUUGGUGCAGAAUCAGGUUCCUCAAGGUUUUUCAGAAAUGUUUCAAAGUUUCAUCACAGAUCAGAGUGGGAUAGAGGGGGACACAAAGAAUGAAUUUCCAAAUGCAAAGACAGAGCGGUAGAUUUGACAGGAAAGCUUGAGGCACCAAUGUUUAGACAGAGUGGAUAGAAGGUAAAGGAAAGACAGAGAGGCAAUAUGAUGGGGGAGAGAGACCCUGGACAGCAGGACACCUGCAAGACACAAUGAAACACCCAUUAGACAGCAGGUUGAACAACAAUUUAAGUAACUUCUCAAGGUGAAAGAUCAGUGAAGGUUUUGCUCACAUAACCAAAAUAUAAACCAGGUAAUAGUGCAGAUAUUUAUAUGAAAAACAUGUUUGUUCUUAAAUGUAUCAAUUGAGUGCUGUUGUCUAGAUCUCUCACACGAGUAGUUUAAGUGUUGCCGCUGCUGCCAGAUCUCUUUUCCAUGUGGUUUUCCUUUUAUGAUAGCCAUACUGAUUCAUUUAAUAAACAGAAUUUGUAUUUCAGAAAAGGGUUAGAAGUUCUCAUUCCUAGUAUAUUAAUAAUCCACAAUUAAAAGCUGGUACUCUAUGAAUUUAUGGAGCUACGAAAGUCUUUCCAGUUUCUCUCAAUGUCCUGCAAAUAUUUCCCAAUAUAAGGCCUGUGUUACCGGAAGGGAUUCUGGGAUGGGAAUCCAGCUGAGUCAAGACGCUGCACUGCCUGUGUGAGCAACACACCAGGAAGAGUCCGGAACCUGAAAAUAAAAUUACAUUGCGCUGAUUUAAUUGCACUAAACGAAUCUUGGUAGGAUCAGCUCGCUCACCCAUAACGUGUUGUUAGUGGUACAUGUACUUAAAAUAAUAACUUGCUCAAUUUUCAAUCGAUUUUUAACAGAUGUAGUUAUGACACUGCAUACAUCAUAAUAAUAAUGUUAUGUUCUAAAAUUAGAAUAAUGUUCUAAAGUAGUAAAGAGUAGUGUAAAGAUUAGUAGUGUAAAUAUUUUCCUUUACACAUAUUCAUCAAGAAAUGCUGCAUGUUAAAAGAGAUGUAUUUAUGACACUGCAUACGUAUGAAUAAUUAUAACCAUGGGUUUUCAUACAAAAAUGAUAUUAAACAGAGCAUUAUUCAUAAGUAUCCAGUAUCAGAACUACAUCUCUGACGUUUAUAACAAACCGUUUAAAAUUAAGUUAAUUUAAGUACAUGUACCACUGGCAACACAACGUUAUGGGUGAGCGAGCUGACUGUACCAAGAUGGCCACCAUGUGCGGACGUUCUAUACUCCGCCGUAAGACAAAUGCGGUGCUUUAAGUGUGAACAUGACGCUAACCAUUGGCUAACACUAGCAUUGCGGCUAACGCUGACUUUGUUGUAACGCUAACGUAACUUGUUAAUGUUUAACAUUAACUUCUCUUAGAUAGAGCAGUACGGUGUCACAUCAACCACAAAGCUUACUUCAGAGUCAGCCAGCUUAUUUCAUUAAUAAUAAAACCGCACAUAUUCUUAACCCUUACACAAUGUUCAUAUUGCAUACCUUCACAAUAGGUUUCAGGUCCAUUUUUACCCGGUCCAAGAAUUACCUCAUGUCUGUACCACAUUUUAAGCUACACGUCUAUUUUUUUAGAUUAGAUUCAACUUUAUUGUCAUUGCACAGGGUACAAGUACUGAGGCAACGAAAUGCAGUUAGAAUGUCUAAAUAGCCUGUCUCAUAAAUGAAUGUACAAUUAGCCCCUAAUAAAUGUUUAAGAGCAGGGAGAGUUUUUUUUAACACAUGAUCAUGUGCUGUUUUACAUUAUACAUAAAAUCCCUGUGUGGGGAAGGUGUUGUCGCUUUGGCAUGUAAAGAGUCACAAGAGCCUCUCUGAGCUCCUCCAAGAAAAACUUCCUCCAGUUCCUUUUGCCCCCCAUGUAAGAUCCAGCUUGCUGCAUACAACAAAGGCAUUGUAGGUUGAUGCUGUGGUUUGAAGAUUACAAAAGGCCAUCGGGCGGUUCUCCUUUGGCAGUAUCGUUGGAGUGUCAAGGACGAUGGCUUGUUUUCUAUCUUCCCACCUCCCUUUGUGCACCGUAUAUGAUCACUCCUAUCUUGUUUUACUAUGUCACUCUUUGGAGACCCCCGUGCCCCUUGAAAGACCGCAGGUGUCUCUGCGGGAAGCUGGAGAAAUGUUGUGUGAACACAGACAGUUCUUGUCACGGUGUGGAGGUCCCCCUUGACCUCUGUCACCUUUGUCCCAGGAAAAUUACACACAAGCAUCGCCUGUACAGUUCAACAUAUUGAAGAUUCCCUAAAACCAUAAUUUUCUUGUUUUCAUCGACACUGGGAGAUCUCAAAUAAAUUGAUAGAUUCAGAUCAAUUUGACCCAAAACAGCCUCAGUGAAUAAAAAUGUGUAUCACCUGUACAAAAGUACAAAACAGAGUUGAAGUGAACUAAGUGCACUAUGGAGAUAAAAUGCGCACCAACUGAGUGUUUUUCAUCUCACCGCAUUGGACCUUUCAUGUGUGCGCAUGUGUCUGUGUUUGUUAGUUUACCAGUCACUGUCAGUAUUGAACAUUUCUCUCCUAUGAAGAGCCGAAACUCACCUGUUGCUACGUCCAAAGCGACAAUAUAAAAAGCCUUAGCGAGCAGACGGACGAUCUUUGACACGCAAAGUUGAGAGAGAAUAAUGACCCUACACGAUCUUUUGUGGACCAAGCCCCCGACUCCUUACCACAGACCCCCAGUUAUCCACCUGUGCGUGGUGGCGCUCGUGGAGCAGCGCAAGGAUGUCGCUUGGGAGUUUGACUCCACUGGCGCGAGACCGGUGACAAUCAAAAACAACGUCUUGGCAUCGGUGUCGGACGGGAAGACGGUGGCCAAAUUUACGGCCUACGGAGAAUUUGCCCACAAAUUUAAAGCGGGCGGGCAUUACAUGCUGCGGGGGCAUUCCCUGAGAGGGCAGUCUCCCCCGUACAUGAUUAAUAUCACCAAGGAGACGGUGUUUUAGGAGGAGCGCUCCUCUCACCGUCUCCCAAGAGCUCAGAGCGCAGGCGGAGGCUUUAAUCCGUCCCCCGUCCCUGCAGGGACGCCAAGGACCUCCUGACUGUGCAGGGGGAAGUGGUCGAAAUGUCCACGGUGAAAAAGAUCACCAAGGGAAGGGAGAGCUUCCCGAUGCGCCACAUCAAGCUGCAGCAGGGGGAAACGCAAAUGCCGGUGUGUCUGUGGAGGGAGGCAGCGGUGGAAAAGAAGCUCCAGAUCGGGACGCACGUAGAGAUUUCCCAUCUCAAAGCCACCAGCUCGGACUACGGAGAACAACUCCAAUCCACGCCGUUCACACUCGUCGAGGAGCUCAACUCAGACAGCGUGGUGGGUGUGAUCGGGGUCGUGGACCUUGAGGGCGAGCCAGGCCCCAACAUGCUGCUGGAGGACGGCCGGACGGUCCUCAUCGAGGAGGGACUGUGGAAAAAGGUGGAGGACCAGUUUAUUGAAUCGCCACUAAGGGCAGCAGUGCAGCUGAUGGGAAAUAGAGUCACGUCUAUUGACACCAUUAAAUAAAGUUGCUGUAUUCUUAGCUUGUUAUUUUUGUAUUUUUCCUGUAUAUAUUGUUCUGUUGUGUUAAUAAACUGCUUAAAGUACAACUCAACCUUUGCUGUGCAUUGUUUCACGUAAACUUACUUUUUGAUUUGAAAUGCUGUGAUUUAUAUUAGAUGUUUAUAAUAGAAAUGCGUCUGAGUCAAGCCGGUUCUGCAAAGAAUGUUGGAGAAACAAACGAAAGGCUCCUUUCACAGGCCCAGCUCUCCUCUAACACAGUAUGAAGGCCUCUGCGCCCCCUGAAAAUAGAUUGAAGCACCACAUUAAUAUAAUAAUACAUCUACCGGGCUCUAGAUGGGAAGUUGUAUUAUAAGCCUGUUCAUUUAUGCAUUCACACAGUUAACAGUUGUAUUGGUAACAGCCAACAAACAAUCAGUUUUUUCUUGGUUGAUUCUCUUGUUGUAAUGAGUAGAGUUUACGUUUAUCUUUAUUUAGUUUAAUCUAAGGCCCUGUCUCCAAAUAGCAGCCAAAGGACUCUGGGCAGCGCUUCAACAGAGUGUUUUAAGUAAAAAGAGUUUCUAAACACCGCCUGAAAAAUCCUGAUCGUCUGUGGUUGAUAUGCCAAUUGAUGGCACUGCUGCUGAACUGUCAACUGUUGCCAUUUUUACCUGUGCAUUAGUCAUUUUAAAUUCUGCUAUUGUGUUCAAUUUAAAAUAAGGGAGAAAGAGGGAGGUAAAGAGAUGAGAAAAAUAGAGAGAAAGAAAGUCAGAAAUUAAGAGGAAAGUGUCAGGGAUGGGUGGAGGAGGCAGGACUCAAACACAGGCUUCUCAGAAAGCAAAAGACUUUAAUAGUCAAAAGGCAAAGGCAGAAGGCCAAGGGGCAAAAACACACAGGAACCGGGGGGGAAACAGCAGGCAGGAACUACGAACAUCCACGACGAUAGACAAUGACGCGACAAGCGACACAAGACACACGGCUUAAAUACACAAGGGAGGUGCAGGUGAUUGGACACAGGUGGAAACUAUUAGACGAUCACAGGGGAUGACGGGACAAGGCAGGAAGUGAAGUUACCCGGGGACACGAGUUCACAAUAGGUUACCCCGACACGAAUUACCCCGGAUUUCUAC